This 68-nucleotide transfer RNA is filed under the name Thor amboinensis. Its description in RNAcentral is "tRNA-Glu". Lineage: Eukaryota; Metazoa; Arthropoda; Malacostraca; Decapoda; Hippolytidae. The record is from RNAcentral.
AAAAUUUAUAUGAUUUCAAAAUUAUAUAGAAUUUAAUUUUAUUGAUAAUACAUUAAUAACUACGUAUA